Molecule: long non-coding RNA, 430 nt
Filed under: Mytilus galloprovincialis (Mediterranean mussel)
Lineage: Eukaryota; Metazoa; Mollusca; Bivalvia; Mytilida; Mytilidae
Source: RNAcentral
UAUUAAUGAAUUAAUAUUUCUGUAUGAUAGUUUCAAGGUGUAUGGAUUCUGUUUAAAGAAAUUGUUCAAAUUAAACUUUAAAAGAUUUUUCUGUACAUACAUGUAAUGCCAUCUUUAUUUCUGACCAGGAUAGUAUAACAAAUUAGGGUUGUAUAGGGAGGGAACUGUUUUGUAAUUAUAAACAAGCAAGUAGGAAGCUACCAGAUCCAGAAACCAUAAUCUAAGGGUCCUUACUCAUUAUCAUAUUUUCUGAUUUUGUGCAAACCAAAGAUUAAAUAGAUUGGUUUGGCAGCAAAGAAAUUGCAUGUAUUUUGAUAUUUGUCUUUUGGGUUUUAAAGUUUAGUCUAUAUGUUUGAUAGCAGUGUUUUAUUGUUUUGUUCAUAUUUUAUAUUAUUUAUUGUUUAUUAUACAAAUUAACAAGUCUACCUCU